RNAcentral lists this ribosomal RNA (254 nucleotides) under uncultured bacterium. RNAcentral describes it as "partial 16S ribosomal RNA". It matches the Rfam family "Bacterial small subunit ribosomal RNA", at positions 524 to 776 of the family's 1533-position model. The record is from RNAcentral.
UACGAAGGGGGCUAGCGUUGUUCGGAAUCACUGGGCGUAAAGCGCACGUAGGCGGAUCGGUAAGUCGGGGGUGAAAUCCCAGGGCUCAACCCUGGAACUGCCUUCGAUACUGGCGAUCUUCGAGUCCGGGAGAGGUGAGUGGAACUCCGAGUGUAGAGGUGAAAUUCGUAGAUAUUCGGAAGAACACCAGUGGCGAAGGCGGCUCACUGGCCCGGUACUGACGCUGAGGUGCGAAAGCGUGGGGAGCAAACGGG